RNAcentral lists this ribosomal RNA (433 nucleotides) under uncultured bacterium. RNAcentral's name for it is "partial 16S ribosomal RNA". It matches the Rfam family "Bacterial small subunit ribosomal RNA", at positions 29 to 507 of the family's 1533-position model. The record is from RNAcentral.
AACGAACGCUGGCGGCAUGCCUAACACAUGCAAGUCGAACGAGACCUUCGGGUCUAGUGGCGCACGGGUGCGUAACGCGUGGGAACCUGCCUUUAGGUUCGGAAUAACUCAGAGAAAUUUGAGCUAAUACCGGAUGAUGUCUUCGGACCAAAGAUUUAUCGCCUUUAGAUGGGCCCGCGUUGGAUUAGCUAGUUGGUGGGGUAAAGGCCUACCAAGGCGACGAUCCAUAGCUGGUCUGAGAGGGUGAUCAGCCACACUGGGACUGAGACACGGCCCAGACUCCUACGGGAGGCAGCAGUGGGGAAUAUUGGACAAUGGGCGAAAGCCUGAUCCAGCAAUGCCGCGUGAGUGAUGAAGGCCUUAGGGUUGUAAAGCUCUUUUACCCGAGAUGAUAAUGACAGUAUCGGGAGAAUAAGCUCCGGCUAACUCCGUG